RNAcentral lists this transfer RNA (358 nucleotides) under uncultured Microcystis sp. RNAcentral's name for it is "partial 16S-23S ribosomal RNA intergenic spacer". The stretch from base 133 to 206 matches the Rfam family "tRNA". The record is from RNAcentral. Lineage: Bacteria; Bacillati; Cyanobacteriota; Cyanophyceae; Chroococcales; Microcystaceae.
AAGGGAGACCUAAUUCAGGUAUGGGACGAAAAAAAAGUAGUCCCAACCAAGAAUCAAUCCCAAAAGGUCGGAACGAGGUAUGAGGCUUUCAAACUAGGUUCUGGGUUCAUAAAAGACCUGAAUCAGGAACAAGGGCUAUUAGCUCAGGUGGUUAGAGCGCACCCCUGAUAAGGGUGAGGUCCCUGGUUCGAGUCCAGGAUGGCCCACCUGCACAGGUGGCAAAAACAAGAGAAGCUCCGAAUCAGCACCUUAUCUUAUAUACAUAUAUAAGAGAGAAUGCUGGCUCUGAGUAAAGAGUCCAGAGGAACCUUGAAAACUGCAUAGAGCUAGGUGAAAAAGCCAAAAAAGAAGACCGCAA